AGUGAACGCUGGCGGUAGGCCUAAUACAUGCAAGUCGAACGGACGCACAGUAAGCGUUCGUCUCUAAGGGUAGCGACUGGCGGACGGGUGAGGCAUACAUAAGCUUCUUAUUUUUCGUGGGGGACAUCGUAGAGCCAUUUCUGAUACUGCAGAAUAUGUUCUACCGCAGAAUUCAAAGGUUAUAGACACUCUUGCUGUCACUUAUAGAUGAAGCCGCGCUGCAUUAGCUAGUUGGUAAGGUAACGGCUCACCAAGGCAACGAUGCAUAGCUGACCUGAGAGGAUGAUCAGCCACACUGGAACUGAGACACGGUCCAGACUCCUACGGGAGGCAGCAGUGGGGAAUAUUGCGCAAUGGGCGCAAGCCUGAUGCAGCCAUGCCGCGUGAGUGAAGAAGGCCUUCGGAUUGUAAAGCUCUGUUGUUAGGAAAGAAAAGCAGCAUGAGAAUACCCCGCUAUUCUGACGGUACCCAAAGAGAAAGCACCGGCUAACUUCGUG
This 497-nucleotide ribosomal RNA is filed under the name uncultured bacterium. Its description in RNAcentral is "partial 16S ribosomal RNA". It matches the Rfam family "Bacterial small subunit ribosomal RNA", at positions 29 to 507 of the family's 1533-position model. The record is from RNAcentral.